GCCCGGAGAUGGAUUCUGAGACACGAAUCCAGGCCCUACGGGGCGCAGCAGGCGCGAAAACUGUGCUAUGCGGGAAACCGUGACAAGGGAACUCCGAGUGCCCGUAAAUUCGGGCUGUCCGCCAGUUUAUACAACUGGUGAAGAAAGGGCCGGGCAAGACCGGUGCCAGCCGCCGCGGUAAUACCGGCGGCUCGAGUAGUGGCCACUAUUACUGGGCUUAAAGCGUUCGUAGCUGGCUUGUUAAGUCUCUGGGGAAAUCUUCCGGCUUAACCGGAAGGCGUCUCAGGGAUACUGGCAGGCUAGGGACCGGUAGAGGUGAGGGGUACUCCAGGGGUAGGAGUGAAAUCCUGUAAUCCUUGGGGGACCACCUGUGGCGAAGGCGUCUCACCAGAACGGCUCCGACAGUGAGGAACGAAAGCUGGGGGAGCAAACCGGAUUAGAUACCCGGGUAGUCCCAGCUGUAAACGAUGCGCGUUAGGUGUAUCGGUGACCACGAGUCACCGAGGUGCCGAAGGGAAACCGUGAAACGUGCCGCCUGGGAAGUACGGUCGCAAGGCUGAAACUCAAAUGAAUUGACGG
Molecule: ribosomal RNA, 579 nt
Filed under: uncultured Methanomicrobiaceae archaeon
Lineage: Archaea; Methanobacteriati; Methanobacteriota; Methanomicrobia; Methanomicrobiales; Methanomicrobiaceae
Description: bacterial SSU rRNA
Rfam family: Archaeal small subunit ribosomal RNA
Source: RNAcentral